GGGCUUUGGCGGCGUGCUAUACAUGCAGUCGAGCGAACAGACAAGGAGCUUGCUCCUUUGACGUUAGCGGCGGACGGGUGAGUAACACGUGGGUAACCUACCUAUAAGACUGGGAUAACUUCGGGAAACCGGAGCUAAUACCGGAUAAUAUUUCGAACCGCAUGGUUCGAUAGUGAAAGAUGGUUUUGCUAUCACUUAUAGAUGGACCCGCGCCGUAUUAGCUAGUUGGUAAGGUAACGGCUUACCAAGGCGACGAUACGUAGCCGACCUGAGAGGGUGAUCGGCCACACUGGAACUGAGACACGGUCCAGACUCCUACGGGAGGCAGCAGUAGGGAAUCUUCCGCAAUGGGCGAAAGCCUGACGGAGCAACGCCGCGUGAGUGAUGAAGGUCUUCGGAUCGUAAAACUCUGUUAUUAGGGAAGAACAUACGUGUAAGUAACUAUGCACGUCUUGACGGUACCUAAUCAGAAAGCCACGGCUAACUACGUGCCAGCAGCCGCGGUAAUACGUAGGUGGCAAGCGUUAUCCGGAAUUAUUGGGCGUAAAGCGCGCGUAGGCGGUUUUUUAAGUCUGAUGUGAAAGCCCACGGCUCAACCGUGGAGGGUCAUUGGAAACUGGAAAACUUGAGUGCAGAAGAGGAAAGUGGAAUUCCAUGUGUAGCGGUGAAAUGCGCAGAGAUAUGGAGGAACACCAGUGGCGAAGGCGACUUUCUGGUCUGUAACUGACGCUGAUGUGCGAAAGCGUGGGGAUCAAACAGGAUUAGAUACCCUGGUAGUCCACGCCGUAAACGAUGAGUGCUAAGUGUUAGGGGGUUUCCGCCCCUUAGUGCUGCAGCUAACGCAUUAAGCACUCCGCCUGGGGAGUACGACCGCAAGGUUGAAACUCAAAGGAAUUGACGGGGACCCGCACAAGCGGUGGAGCAUGUGGUUUAAUUCGAAGCAACGCGAAGAACCUUACCAAAUCUUGACAUCCUUUGACAACUCUAGAGAUAGAGCCUUCCCCUUCGGGGGACAAAGUGACAGGUGGUGCAUGGUUGUCGUCAGCUCGUGUCGUGAGAUGUUGGGUUAAGUCCCGCAACGAGCGCAACCCUUAAGCUUAGUUGCCAUCAUUAAGUUGGGCACUCUAAGUUGACUGCCGGUGACAAACCGGAGGAAGGUGGGGAUGACGUCAAAUCAUCAUGCCCCUUAUGAUUUGGGCUACACACGUGCUACAAUGGACAAUACAAAGGGCAGCGAAACCGCGAGGUCAAGCAAAUCCCAUAAAGUUGUUCUCAGUUCGGAUUGUAGUCUGCAACUCGACUACAUGAAGCUGGGAAUCGCUAGUAAUCGUAGAUCAGCAUGCUACGGUGAAUACGUUCCCGGGUCUGUACACACCGCCCGUCACACACGAGAGUUUGUACACCGAGCGUGAGUACAUUGGAGCUAGCGUCGAGUGGACAAUGAUGGGGGUGAGUCGUACAGUAGCGGUAUCGAGGCCGGGGGGGUGCACUCCCUCUCUUCUUAUA
Molecule: ribosomal RNA, 1506 nt
Filed under: Staphylococcus sp.
Lineage: Bacteria; Bacillati; Bacillota; Bacilli; Caryophanales; Staphylococcaceae
Description: bacterial SSU rRNA
Rfam family: Bacterial small subunit ribosomal RNA
Source: RNAcentral